UACGUAGGGGACGAGCGUUGUCCGGAAUUACUGGGCGUAAAGGGCGCGCAGGCGGUAUAUCAAGUCAGCUGUCAAAGACUGGGGCUCAACCCUGGUAUGCGGUUGAAACUGAUAUGCUGGAGUGCUGUAGAGGCAAGUGGAAUUCCCAGUGUAGCGGUGAAAUGCGUAGAUAUUGGGAAGAACACCGGUGGCGAAGGCGUCUUUCUGGCCAGUUACUGACGCUCAUGCGCGAAAGCUGGGGUAGCGAACCGGAUUAGAUACCCCCGUA
RNAcentral lists this ribosomal RNA (268 nucleotides) under uncultured prokaryote. RNAcentral's name for it is "partial 16S ribosomal RNA". It matches the Rfam family "Bacterial small subunit ribosomal RNA", at positions 524 to 792 of the family's 1533-position model. The record is from RNAcentral.